AUGUCAUUGGCAUAAUCACAGUAAUCUUCCAUCAGACUGUUGUUGCACAGGAUGAAGAUUCCCACAAAAAGCAGCAAGAAGUUUUUGUACACCUCUGUGGUAAGGAGAUCUUUCAACAUAACAGGUCCGGUAUACAGUAAAAACUGCCUGAACUCUGUUGCCUUCCACCUGUCAAUUUCCCUCAGUGCCCUUGGUUUCCUUGCGAACUCCAUGGGCACGCUUCUCUGAGCAUUCACUAACCUUUCUGUUAAUGUGUUUAUUUGAAAUCCCGACAGCCUACAAGUGAGAGGACCCAUCUUCAACCACAAGUGGAGAAGUCUUCUCAUGAUUCCGAGGCACACGAGGUGCAUGUAAUCGAGGGGGAUGCCAGAGACCAUGUCCAGGGAAGUUUGUUCAAGGGGUGACAUGCCAUGAUGGUGAUCAGAAUCGGUCUUGUUUCUGAAGCUCUCAUUGGUUCUUAGAGGCAUGUCGCUUCUUGGAAAUGUCAUCCUAUUUUUCAGGUACACUCCAUCCUGUGUGCAUUUUUCACAUCCAUGAUAGCCUGUGUGACCUUUGAUGUUUUUUAGGAAUGCACGAGCAGGUGCGUCGCAAACCAUCGAAGAAAGUUGUAAAGCUAACCUCACUCCUUCAAACUCAAAUCCAUUACCCAAUUCAUUUACUUCCGUGAUGAAGUCUUCAAGAUACUCGGUCAGUGAGGUAGGUUUACCUGUGCCACAAAAUAAACCUAUUGUCACUGGUUCUUCUUGUCUGAUAUUUUGCAGUGUUCCAAGAAUGGGCCAGAACUGUGUUGACGAACUCUUGUAGAGUGGCAGACCAUCGAUGUUGACCUGAAGCUCCAAUGUGUGAAUGUUGCUCAGAAUCUUGACAUUCUGAUGUAGCACCUCUGUGAUUGAAUUUAGUACUCCAAAAUGGUAAUACUGGCCACCAGCUUUGUGUUGUAUUUGAGGGUUCCCACGCACCGUUCCUAGCAACGUUCUUGAGUCUUUUGGCAGAUUCAAACUAUGUUGACGUAGUAUGUUUAGUAAUGAAUUUAAUGCCACGUGUGAGAUUUUGUUUUCAGUAGCCCAGGUUGCCAAAUCUUCUCCUAGGGAAGUUGGAUCGGUUUCAGACUCUGACUCGGGGUCUGAUUCACUGUCAUCAAGAACACUUGCCAUAUUGACAGCUUCAGUCUCGUCAAUCUGAGAGAGACAGUCCAUAAAUGUGUCUUCAUCAUCGAUUUGACAUUGACAGGCGUUACGGCAUGCGAUUGGCUGUUCGCUGCUGAUGUCACACUUUCAAGUGCGCGCGCUCCAAGAACUCCAGUUCAAAUCCCAAAUCGACGGAUGGACGGAGUUUGAUCGGCGUCAUGGUACCAGCAAAGCAUGCAUGUCUUGGUUUCGUGAACUUGACUAAAUCCCGUGAUCUUGACUGUGUGUUGCACUGCCAUCCUCGUACAGGCUCCUUCUGUGAUUCACCGAAGCGCGUCUGAAUUCAAGCUGGAAACGGCCUGUGCUUGGUCUGUCCCAGGGUGUCAUCGUCACUCACGAAGAAUUCUGUCCUGUUUGGUUUCCAUCAUCCAUCCUCUGGCAACUGGGCUGUGUAUGGAGGCCACCAUUUUCUCCCACAAACUCCACUCUCAGCUUUGAAGAUGGUUCAGCCUAGAUGCUCAGAUCUACCACUGGUCCAGCUUCAUUCCCACAUCUGGCACCAAAGAUUAAUUAAGUGCAGUCCAUAACCAGUGUGUGCACCUUGUCCAUUGCAAAUGUUAAGGAUUGUUCUAUUAGAGCUCAUUAUAAUCUUUGAGAUUGGCCUUAUGUAAAGGCUGUUGUGUGUUGUGAGUAAAGUUCACCCCCCUGUGAAACAGUUUCCCUUAGUUGUGAGAAUAUUUUACCUUCAUGCUCUCAGCAGUUCCUACAUUUAAAGUGUCUUUUUAUUAUUAUUUUUUAUUAUUAUUGAAAUAUUGCUUUAAUGUUCAAUCAACUUUGGGACAUGAUCAACUCUGGGAAGUUAGUAUCAUUAAUUCUGUAAGGUGCUUUGAAUCAAAUGAAUAUUUGUAUAGCGUGUUUCCUCCAAAGGCUGCUUUCUCAUUCCUCAAACAUCAAAAAGGGUCACCUUUGGUUUGCUAAUUGGAGUUUGUAAGCAUCAUUAUUUGGAACAAAAUAUGAAAAUGGCUCGGUGUUACACUAUUUCAGUGCAUGGCAGAGAGUCGAAGAACCACCUGACACAAAGCCAUGGAUCACCCCCUUAUACAGAGCAUGGUAGGCUAUUAGGGGUCAAAUUCAUGCUUUCUGCAUAACGAAAUUAUGUGAAAAACAGCUAAUAAGCAGGUAGAAUUACCGUUUGCUUGAAACAAGCUUACCUUAACUUGGCUGGCAAUUUUUUUUUUUUUUUUUUUUUUUUUUUUUUUUUUUUUUAUCUGAGGGAUCAAACAAAGGGAUAGAUGAACAAACUGGCUGUUUUACAUUAUAGGUUCCAGAAAGUGUUCAUAUGAGCUUGUAUUUUUAUUAGUAUUAUAAUUUAUAUAUUCUGAUUUGUAAUCAGAAGUCACCCUUUGCAAAUCAUUUAAAGCAUUUUAAAAAUUAAAUCCAUGAAUGCAGUGCU
Megalobrama amblycephala (Wuchang bream) is the source of this 2580-nucleotide long non-coding RNA. RefSeq lists it as uncharacterized. The transcript has 4 exons. Lineage: Eukaryota; Metazoa; Chordata; Actinopteri; Cypriniformes; Xenocyprididae. The record is from RefSeq and is a predicted model, not a curated record.